UACGUAGGGUGCGAGCGUUAAUCGGAAUUACUGGGCGUAAAGCGUGCGCAGGCGGUUUGACAAGUCUGAUGUGAAAGCCCCGGGCUCAACCUGGGAACUGCGUUGGAAACUGUCAGGCUAGAGUGUGUCAGAGGGAGGUAGAAUUCCACGUGUAGCAGUGAAAUGCGUAGAGAUGUGGAGGAAUACCGAUGGCGAAGGCAGCCUCCUGGGAUAACACUGACGCUCAUGCACGAAAGCGUGGGGAGCAAACAGG
Molecule: ribosomal RNA, 253 nt
Filed under: uncultured prokaryote
Description: partial 16S ribosomal RNA
Rfam family: Bacterial small subunit ribosomal RNA
Source: RNAcentral